GUAAAUGGCAGUCUGCACACAUUCUGCAAAUAAGAAAACCAACCAAAAUUAUCACCAAUUUGACUGGCUGAAUCCGAUAACCACAGCUUAGUGAGAUGAAAGAUGGAGAGAUGCGUUCGUCAAAUAUCCAGGCAAACCACUUACAAUUUGUUUUAUUAUUGGCCUAAUAAUCCAGUACAAGACAGCACAAAAGCAACUUAGGUAAAGUAUCAUCAUAAAAUUACAACACACAAGGAGGUGAAAGAAAGCUGGCUAAAUUUAGGCAGAAGAAUUGGUUGC
Molecule: unclassified non-coding RNA, 279 nt
Filed under: Hevea brasiliensis (rubber tree)
Lineage: Eukaryota; Viridiplantae; Streptophyta; Magnoliopsida; Malpighiales; Euphorbiaceae
Source: RNAcentral